AGCAGCCGCGGUAAUUCCAGCUCCAAUAGCGUAUAUUAAAGUUGUUGCAGUUAAAAAGACUCGUAGUUGAAUUUCGGGAUCAAUUAGUCGGUCGUGCCUCUGGUACGUACUGGUUUUAUUGGUUCCUCCCUUCUGACGAAACAUGAUGUCAUUAAUUUGGUGCCGUGGAGAAUCAGGACUGUUGCCUUGAAAAAAUUAGAGUAGUUUAUAGCAGGCUAACGCUUGAAUACAUUAGCAUGGAAUAAUGAAAUAGGACGUUCAACCCUAUUUUGUUGGUUUCUAGGAUCGACGUAAUGAUUAAUAGGGAUAGUUGGGGGCAUUAGUAUUCAAUUUGUCAGAGGUGAAAUUCUUGGAUUUAUUGAAGACUAACUACUGCGAAAGCAAUUUGCCAAGGAUGUUUUCAUUAAUCAAGAACGAAAGUUAGGGGAUCGAAGACGAUCAGAUACCGUCGUAGUCUUAACCAUAAACUAUAGCCGACUAGGGAUCGGGAUGAUGUUAAUUUUUAAUGUAACUCAUUCGG
This 520-nucleotide ribosomal RNA is filed under the name uncultured Glomus. RNAcentral describes it as "bacterial SSU rRNA". It matches the Rfam family "Eukaryotic small subunit ribosomal RNA", at positions 569 to 1083 of the family's 1831-position model. The record is from RNAcentral. Lineage: Eukaryota; Fungi; Glomeromycota; Glomeromycetes; Glomerales; Glomeraceae.